RNAcentral lists this ribosomal RNA (243 nucleotides) under Deltaproteobacteria bacterium. RNAcentral describes it as "partial 23S ribosomal RNA". It matches the Rfam family "Bacterial large subunit ribosomal RNA", at positions 2692 to 2925 of the family's 2925-position model. The record is from RNAcentral. Lineage: Bacteria; Pseudomonadati; Myxococcota; Myxococcia.
CCGGAAUGGACGAACCAAUGGUGUUCCAGUUGUCGCGCCAGCGGCAUUGCUGGGUAGCUAAGUUCGGAAUGGAUAACCGCUGAAAGCAUCUAAGCGGGAAGCCAACCUCGAGAUUAGAUAUCCCUCUGUAUGGAAACAUACAGACUGAAGACCCCUUGAAGACUACAAGGUUGAUAGGCCAGGUGUGUAAGCAUAGCAAUAUGUUUAGCUUACUGGUACUAAUAGGUCGUGAGGCUUAGUCAC